GUAGUCCACGCCGUAAACGAUGGAUACUAGCUGUUGGAGGUAUCGACCCCUUCAGUAGCGAAGCUAACGCGUUAAGUAUCCCGCCUGUGGAGUACGGUCGCAAGACUAAAACAUAAAGGAAUUGACGGGGACCCGCACAAGCGGUGGAUCGUGUUCUUUAAUUCGAUGAUAAACGAAGAACCUUACCAGGGCUUGACAUCCAGGGAAGCACUACGAAAGUAGAGUGUGCCUUUUGGAACCCUGUGACAGAUGAUGCAUGGCCGUCGUCAGCUCGUGUCGUGAGAUGUUUGGUUAAGUCCAUCAACGAGCGCAACCCUUGUGAAUAGUUGUAUUUUUCUAUUCAGACUGCCCCGGUAACGGGGAGGAAGGAGGGGAUGAGGUCAGGUCUGUAUUUCUCUUACGUCCUGGGCUAGAAACACGAUACAAUGGUUAGUACAAUGCGCAGCGAAGCCGCGAGGUGGAGCAAAUCGCAUCAAAGCUAAUCUCAGUUCGGAUAAGAGGCUGAAACUCGCCUCUUUGAAGUCGGAAUCGCUAGUAAUCGCAGGUCAGCAAACUGCGGUGAAUACGUUCCCGGGUCUUGUACACACCGCCCGUCAAACCAUGAAAGUCACCAACACCCGAAGUCCGAUUUUUCGGCCUAAGGUGGGGGGGAUGAUUGGGGUU
Molecule: ribosomal RNA, 663 nt
Filed under: uncultured bacterium
Lineage: Bacteria
Description: bacterial SSU rRNA
Rfam family: Bacterial small subunit ribosomal RNA
Source: RNAcentral